Long non-coding RNA from Anthonomus grandis grandis, 398 nucleotides. RefSeq lists it as uncharacterized. The transcript is spliced from 2 exons. Lineage: Eukaryota; Metazoa; Arthropoda; Insecta; Coleoptera; Curculionidae. The record is from RefSeq and is a predicted model, not a curated record.
CUUGAAACUCUUAAUUGCAUAAUUACAUCGCUUUUUCUUAUUCAUGUAUAUGCUCAACAACAUUUCCUUGUGGAGCUUCACGAUACUCGACCCGAUCAGAAAGUUUCAUCCUAACAUUGUGUACAAUGAUACUGUAAACACCGAGAAACCAGCUGAUUCUCCGUCAUUCCAGAAUGAUACAAGGGGCACACCGCACGACGUCUGGAAGGUCAGCGAAUCUUCCAGAAUAGUCAGCCGCGUAUUUAAGGAGCUGCGUCGCCGCUGGGAGUCAGUUGACAGUUCAGUAAGGUGAAGUUCGAAAUAUUGGCGCGAGAUUUAAAUCAGGCAUAAAUAGUUGUCGUAGUCGUGAGAGAUGGUGUUUUCGUAUUGUAAGUGUGUACAUAAAUUUGUUGACUAUU